CACGACCUCGGCGCGACGCGCGCGGGAUCCAGUGGAGACUGCUUUCCCAUAGGCCGCCAUCCAGGGCGGGGAAGGGAGCGGACCCUCCCGGCUCCAGGUGCCUGGGCCCCCGGCGGCCUGCGGAGGCCUCGCCCCACGCCACCCGCCCACUGGCCUCGUCUUCGCGCGGGGAGAAAAGCAGCCUGAUUCGGAGGAACGGGUUGCUUGGGGCGGCUCCCAGCUCGAGUUGUGGGCCCCGCCGCGGGUGCCCUUCGGAAACGCGCUGACACCAGGCGAAGCCGCCUCUGCCCGGACGCAGCCCGACACUUGGCCCGCGGGGUUCCCCGGGACGCCUGAGAGUAAUGGGCGCGAGGGGGAAAGCCGAACGGCCUCCCUGUGCCCGGCGCAGGCGGUGCCCCCUAGCUGGGUUCGCCGCGGCGGCGCUGCGAGCCCCCGACACUGAGGACUUUUGGUCCAACAGUCCGACGGGGCCCGGUGCGCCGUUCCCUCCGCCCUCUCCCCGCUCCCCGGCCCGCGCGUCUUGGAGGGUGGGUGAAUUGUCGGAAGCACUCUACGCCUGGCCAACCCAAACCAGGAACCUCCGCACCAAACAGCCCACGUUGCUGCUGCUCUGGGGUUUUAACGGCCAAGGGAGACUGGAGAAGGGGUGUUCUGCCUUCCCAUUCUCUUAGGCCCGUCCACUCCCCAUCCCCACAGUUUGGAAGUGGCCUUUUCUGAGGACUCCAGCGCAAAGCAUGUUUCUCCUUUUGAGCUGCGGAAGCCUUGCUUGUUCCCGCCAUUGGGAGGGCAUUCCAUCAUCUGCAGCUGCCUUCCUCGGUGGGCCUUGUCCCUUAGCGUCCACCUAGGGGACAUUCUAAGCUUCUUGAGACCUGCUUGUCCACCCCAACAUGUCUCAGCAUAUGGCUGUGCCCUAAGGGGUCUUUGAGGGCAUUUUAGGAGGUGAGCGGCGCCCCUACCUGGGCUCCGCGGGGCCGAUUCGGUUUGCCCUUUGCUGGCAUGUCAGUGAAUUAACUGCUGUCCUUGGGAUGACCUGCCCUAUGAUUUGGCCUCUGGAGCAUCCCGGGUGUGUAUUUCAGAACUCCUCCCAUCUUAUCCACCUGCUGAAGGCCUGGCCCCCUGAUAUGGUUUGGCUCUGUUUCCCCACCCAAAUCUCACCUUGAAUUUUAAUAAUCCCCACGUGUCAUGGGCGGGACCAGGUGGAGGUAAUUGAAUCAUGGAGGUGGUUUCCUGAACGCUGCUCUCGUGACAGUGAGUUCACAAGAUUUUUUUUUUUAACGGAGUAUCACUCUGUCACUCAGGCUGGAGUGCAGUGGCGCGAUCUUGGUUCACUGCAACCUCUGCCUCCCGGGUUCAAGAGAUUCUCCUGCCUCAGCCUCCCGAGUAGCUGGGAUUACAGGUGCGCGCCAUCACGCCCGGCUAAUGUGUAUUUUUAGUAGAGAAAGGGUUUCACCAUGUUGGUUAGGCUGGUCUGGAACUCCUGACCUUGUGAUCUGCCUGCCUCGGCCUCCCAAAGUGCUGGGAUUACACGCGUGAGCCACUGUGCCCAGCCGAUCUGAUGCUUUUAUAAAGGGCUUUCCCCGUCCCCCUUCCUCUCUCUCACCACCCUGUGAGAAAGGUGCCUUUCUUCCCCCUUCACGUGAACUGCCUCCAUGAUUGUAAGCUUCCUGAGGCCUCCCCAGCUAUAAGGAACUGUGAGCCAAUUAAACUGCUUUAUAAAUUAA
This 1721-nucleotide long non-coding RNA is filed under the name Homo sapiens (human). RNAcentral describes it as "non-protein coding LINC00092:8". Lineage: Eukaryota; Metazoa; Chordata; Mammalia; Primates; Hominidae. The record is from RNAcentral.